UGUACAGUUCCGUUGCGAUCAGUGACUAGUGGAUUGGAAGCGCAGAUUAACACAGGCUCGGAGACACUGUUUGGAUAACACACCACAUUAAGCAAAACACCGUUUAUGGUUUUAACUGAAGAUUUCACAAUGUCUCGCGCCGACGAGGUUCACCGCAUUACGGAAAACGUCUAUAAGACCAUCAUGGAACAGUUCAACCCCUGUUUGCGGAAUUUCAUCGCUAUGGGGAAGAACUACGAGAAGGCUCUCUCCAGUGUGACGUUUGCAGCGAAGGGUUAUUUUGAUGCUCUGGUGAGAAUGGGCGAGCUGGCCAGUGAAAGUCAAGGAUCAAAAGACUUGGGGGAUGUGCUUUUCCAGAUGGCAGAGGUCCACCGGCAGAUUCAAGUACAGUUAGAGGAAAUGUUGAAAUGCUUCCACAAUGAGCUGAUGUCUGAGCUGGAGAAGAAGGUGGAAUUGGAUGCAAGAUACCUGACUGCAGCUCUCAAGAAGUACCAGAUGGAGCACAAAAGCAAAGGAGAGAGUCUGGAGAAAUGCCAAGGUGAGCUGAAGAAACUGCGGAGGAAGAGCCAGGGCAGCAAAAACCCCUCCAAGUAUGGCGAGAAGGAGUUGCAGUACGUUGAGACCAUUAGCAGUAAACAGAGCGAGCUAGAUACCUUCAUCGCAGAAGGCUACAAAACAGCGCUGUCGGAGGAACGUAGGAGAUACUGUUUCCUGGUGGACCGCCAGUGCGCCGUAGCCAAGAACAGCAGCGCCUACCAUGGCAAGGGGAAAGACCUGCUCACUCAGAAGAUCCCAAUAUGGCAGCAGGCCUGCUCAGACCCCAACAAGCUACCCGAGAGGGCGAUGAUGCUCGCCCAGCAGAUGAGCUCUGGUUCCAGCACCAUGAUCUCCAGCCCUCUGCACUCUUCCAAAGGCAAUCUGGUCAUCUCAGAUCCCAUUCCAGGAGCUCAACCGUUACCCGUGCCGCCGGAACUCGCUGCCUUCAUGGGGAGUGGCCUGGGACACCAGGGGAGGCUAAUGGGUCCUGAUGGCAUAUCUCUGGUGAACGGUACGCCGGGGGUCCAAGGGGAUGAGUACUGGACAGAGGGUGGGGUCUCUCAGGGAAGACCGCCCUCACCUCAGACUCAGACUCAAACACAGAGUCAGCCACAGAGACAGGUCAGCGACGUCUACUCCAACACACUACCUGUGCGCAGGGCCCAGCCCACUAAGAACAAGACCAUUGUGGGAGAGACGAGAACUCUGCCCAGGUCAAGUUCCAUGGCGGCAGGUCUAGAGAAGAAUGGACGCUCUCGAGUACAGGCCAUUUUCUCCCAUGCUGCUGGUGACAACGGCACCCUGCUCAGCUUCACUGAGGGCGACAUCAUCACCCUGCUGGUGCCUGAGGCUCGUGACGGCUGGCACUAUGGAGAGAACGAGAAAAACAAGAUGCGUGGCUGGUUUCCUUUUUCCUACACUCGAGUGCUGCCCGACAGUGAGAGUGAGAAGUUAAAAGUCAAUCUUCAUCAUGGGAAGAGCAGUAGCACAGGGAAUCUACUGGAAAGAGAGGACAUGUAUUUGCCUAUGCCCGACUAUGGACUGACUGCCCGGCUCUUGGCACAGAGCCUUACACAGACUCGACCACGCCCAUACAGCAUGGCAGGCUUUGCACAGUUCCGAUGGCAAAUUGAUUUCGACAGUGUGAACACAGACAGACUAUCAGACACAGAUACAGCUCCGGAUAGAACAGGGGCCACGCCCCUACUUCCCUUAGCCCCUCCCCCUCUUAAGCUCUGCCUCCACACACUCCUCCUCCAAUGGAAGAGGCCGGUCUCAUCCCUCCUUUCUGUGCUCUCUUCCUUCCGGGGCGAUAGUGGCGGUCGUGUGUGGUGGGUCGGGGGGGAACUGUGAGAAGAACGACCGGAACGCAGUCCAACUGCUCGCCUUGCCGCUUUCCGGACUCUGAUUUGCCUGUAGUAACGCCGCUAUGACAUUGCUGUGGACUCCAAAGAGACUGCUUACCACAUCCUGUCUUUCAUGCAUGAGCACAAGAUUUGCUAUGUGAUUGUUUUUUAAAAUGACAUCAUCAUGUAAAAGUGCCAAAAGAAAAGCAAAUUUGGUAUUUUGCAGCAGCUCUCCUAAUUACAAAGCUGUUGCUCAUUGUUUUUUUUAAGCAGAAUUUAUGGGAGCCUCAUGCAAAGUGAGGAGUGUUUUUUUAAUUAUUUGUGGUUGUGCAGAGUGCUCUCUCUAUCUGUGUGUGUGUGCGUUUGUGUGUGCGUUUUUAAGAGCCUUUGGUUUUUUGUGAUCCCUCAUGUAUUACCUGGUGCUCCUCUUGUCCAGAAGCUGUUUUACUUUGUGCCAAAACAAACAGCAGCUUAGAUUUUCUUUCACUUCACAAACAUCAUUGGAAUAUUUGAAAGGAAGAUCUGCAUCCCAGAUUAAACAAGUGCCAAAAGAGUGAACCUAUGAAAUGACAAUGAAGGUUGCAUGAGCUUCAAAAUACUUGGGUAGGACUCUGCUGUUUGCCAAGACCAGCAUGUGUCUGCUCACCCUACAUGCAUGAGAGAAAAGUGCUCUGAGCAUAAACUCAAACCCUUUUUUCCCUAAAAAAACAAAACAAAAACAUUAUCCUGUCUCAGACACCUUAAAGUAUAUGGUUAGAAUGUUAUUAAAAUGAAAAUAAUCACAAGAUAACCUAAUUCAUAUUCACAAAAUAAAAUAAACUCUAAAUACAAUUCACAAAUGCAGAACUAGGGAUGGGAAUCUUAAGUAAUUGAAUGAUUAUAGUUCAGAUUCCUCUUAACAGAUACAUUAUGCCUUAAGUACACAUUACACAGUAACAGUUCUUAGUUCAUUUGCAGUCGGACAUGACGACAUGAAUGACUUGUGGUUCAGUUAUGUUAAGUUUGGCGUUGUAGAUUCAAAUCAACCGGCUCAUAAGAGUAAUUUGUUUGGGAAUCAAACUACACUGGUCAUGCUGUAGAUUCAAUUGACCGUCUCAUAAGAGUUUUUCCAUUGGGAAUCAGACUACACUAGUACUACACUGCUUGUCUGCAAAGGCUGAAGAAAGCAUGUUCGAGAAAAGAUAAGUUAUGAAAAUUAUUCAGUUUCGGUAUUUAAAACAAAAAAAUCAAUGGAACAGAUUCUGAUUAAUUCUUACCCCUAAGUAUAACCUAAUUCACAUGUACAAAAUAUGAUUUGCAAAUGCAAAACAAGAUUCAUAAACACACAAAAUAAAUAAAUACAAGUGCUCACAGUUGUCUUUUAUCGUGAAUUGGUUGAAUCUGCAUUUGCAAAUUGUCAAAUUUUUGGAUCGCCUAGGAUUUGUGUGUGAAUGUUGAGACUUUUUCACAGCUUUUGAUUCACAGUUACAUUUUUGAAGUACGUCUGUUAUCCAAUCAGAUGAGAUGUUUUUUAGCCCAGCCAAUCGAAGUACUUAACAAACAGUGGUGAUACUGUGAGUGAUGCCUCAUUUUAUGGAGUUCAAUGCAUCGGGAAACACUGACAUGUGUAAUGAAAGAGCCUUUAGGUUAUGCAUUUGUGAAUGAGAGUUUGUGAAUAUAUCAUUUUGAGACUAUAUUGACCCCAUAAUAAGUGCCACCAGCCCAUGUCUUUAUAACAUUGUAUGUUUCCAUGGAGUUUUAGGAUGUUGACUGACUGAUCUUCUGGAGCUGUGGUGUAGUCCUUGCUGUGUUGAUGUUCUUUUGUUUCUUCUUUUGAAAACAAGUUAUUGAUUUCCUUGGAAAAUAGACGAACUAGGAAAAAUGCUCAAGAAAUCAGUGUAUCAAUCACAAUAUGCAUGCUGAGGAGGAACAUAGUGAACAUUAAUCUUGAAUGUAUGGUGACUUUUUACGAAAAGAAUAAAUAUCUAUAUAUUAAUAAAACAUUUCUUCAAAUGAGCUUUGGAAGAUUUUUAAUGUCAUCCUGAAUCUUAUAUUCUUUGCAUUGAACAUAAUAAACCCCACCACCUUAACUGUCAUCCACAAAUCAAAAUCAGGGGAAGUUAUGAUUGUAAUUAUUGUUGUCCUUUGAGACUUUACCACCCCAUUUGAACCCUUACUCACCUUCACAUUGUCCUCAGAUUGUCCUCAGAAGAGAACACACUUAUGAUCUAACAUAGAUUUUGUGCAUGUGUCAUUACAUUGUGUCUGUAUAAAUAUGUGAAAUGUCCCUGUGUUUUUGUGGCCUGUGCUUGCCUGCUAGCCUUUUUUCUUCUAACUCCUCUUUGUGUUUUUACAGCUUGAAGUGAUCUAUUUGAGAUGUAUAAGAAACUAGAAAAUCACACUUAAAAUGUCUGAAUGUCAUUGCAUUACAAAAUUAGAUAACAUUAGAUAACAAAAUGUCAAACCAAGUGGCAUCUGUUAACAAAUUCUGCUUUUCCCAGAACAAAGACGUGGUAUGAAGUAAUUUCUGCUCAAAUUCACACAUCUUAGCAGUGUAACUUUAAAUAUAGUUCCUCAUGUUACCUAUGGACAUGCUGCACAAAGUUUGACAACCAGAAUGUGUCUAAAUACUUUUAGAUAUCUAUUGUUUUAUCAUUUGAAACCUAACAAACUUCUUUGUGUGAAAUGUUUUGCUUGUGAAGUGUCCGUGCUAUAUUUCUUUAUAAUAAAUGGCAUUUGGUUUUAUAUUUUAUUAUAUAAUGCAAAGACAUUUAUACAUUUUUGUGGCAUAAUUGUCCAAAUACAUUUUGGACCACUGUAUAUAUGGAAAUCUAUUUUAUAAGCAUGCCUUUUAUUUCGAAAACUGUGAACACUUUAUUUAAAUGUACUCCUCAAAUGUUUAUUUUUUUCAAUACACUGUCUUUUAUACAGUAAAUUGGACUUGUUACUGUAGAUUCCUAACCGAACUGCUGUGGGCAGACUUUUCAUUUUGCACUAUAUUUUGAACCCAUGUCAUUUCUAGAAACGUGUUAUUGACUCAUCUAUAAACAUACGACUUUGACGUCAUCCAUCCGAUUCAGCGACCAAUCCAAAAACCCCAAAGCCAUGUCACAGAGCGAGUAACCUACAACCAUCUAACGCAACACUAACAGUCGUGUGAAUGCGGUGGAAAUGUAGCCAUGCAUAGCCUCGGUCUGAGGUACAAACCCCUGGACUCUCUUUACCUUCCAGUAUGGGUCCUGAAUUGUCCCGGUUCUGAGUGUUGCAGGACCUCCUGACGGUUCCAUGGAGCUGCUCCUCAGACCAAGCCUCAUGGACAACCGAUCUGCUCCUCUUUACUACUAGAGGGGCCCUUGCUGUGGCCUGUGCACUGUACCGCCCUCUUCUGUUCUGUCUGCGUCAUUGCAACAGCAUGUGAAGCGCAUAAGUGCUUUCCCACAUGAGGUCCAAUGAAGGACAGUAAAUCUUGUGUGUUCUGUGCUGAAAGAUUAGAGUAAUGAUCUUAACUCUGUAACUUCAUAAUUAUCAGCAUUUGUAGUGAGGAAGUUGAAAAGGUAAUGACUGUUCUAAAUGGUUAGGUUGUUUUUGUGUUAACUAAUCUGGCUCAUCACUAUACAAAAAAUGACAAUGUACAUGUAUUGGAGGAGAGUGAAUAUCUUAAAUGGAAUAAACAUAAGAGUAUGUCUGCAAUCUGACUGUUGAAAUGUGAGCAUUUACAACUUGAAUGUAAAAAUGUAAAAAAAAAAAAAAAAAAUUCAACUAUAUAUAUUCAGUUUUAUAUCUUAAGGAAGACUUUUUCUCAGUUAAAAACUUUGUGACACAUGCCACUGUAUCACCACUAAUUUCUGAAAGCUGUGCUCAAGAUACAGUGAUGAAACCUCUUCCCAGGGGUCUUGAUAAUGUGGUCACUUCAGAAUAAACAGACUGCCAUGCUUUGAUUUAUUACUGCAGCCUCAAGGUCUAGUGAGUCAUAUGCACAUUCUCUGGUUAAAGAAAUCUGUACAGUAUAUUAGUUGUAACAUAGUGCAGUUUCACAUGCAUGCAUCACAGACACAGGGCUUUUCCUGCUGUAUGUAUUGCGCUCGUUGCAAUAUUUUCAGUGGUGUAACUAAAGGGAGUUAUGUGUUUGUGAUAUGUUACGUUGUUUGAUUGGUUUUGCACUAUUAUAUGCUACUGCUGUCACUUGUACUAUUGUUGUUUCUUAGGAAUUUCAUUGAUUGUUCUAUAUAUGAGGGUUUGUUACUUUGUUUGCCCACUGCUUUUGCUCACAAGCAUUGCACAUUUAAAUGUCUUUUGUUUCACAUACUGAACAAUACAGCUUGGUUAUCAAACAUACUGCAUUUACUGCACAAUAAUGAAAAGAUAUAAAUUGCAGGUUAUGUAAAUAUGCAUCUUUGUUUCUGCCUGAGGGACUGAAAAUUAAAUUUCUAGAAUAGAAUCUUUAUCAAAAAAGCUCUUGUACAGAUAACUUUUAAUUCAACAGAUUUCUUGCCACAGGACAGCAACAACAAAAAAAAAGGUAGUUAAGAUGCUAAUAUGAACUGUGUGUUUUUGUAAUAGAGCGUAAAUUGCUGUUUGUGUGAGGAGAGUUGGGUAUUUUGUGUCUGACCAGCUUUUUUUUUUGGCUUUUCUAAUGUUCUGUUCAUUCUAAUUUAUGGUCAACUCCAAAUGUAUAUGCACAUUCUUGUCUUUCAUGAAAUAAAAAGCAAAUGAAAACUCAACACAUUA
Myxocyprinus asiaticus (Chinese sucker) is the source of this 6590-nucleotide RNA transcript. It is a transcript of the gene named brain-specific angiogenesis inhibitor 1-associated protein 2-like, with no coding region annotated. The transcript has 14 exons. Lineage: Eukaryota; Metazoa; Chordata; Actinopteri; Cypriniformes; Catostomidae. The record is from RefSeq and is a predicted model, not a curated record.